GACGAACGCUGGCGGCGUGCUUAACACAUGCAAGUCGAACGGAACGGCCCUGCUUUUGUGGGGUGCUCGAGUGGCGAACGGGUGAGUAACACGUGAGUAACCUGCCCUUGACUUUGGGAUAACUUAAGACAACUGGGGCUAAUCCCGGAAAGGAGCUCCUGCUGCAUGGUGGGGGCUGGAAAGUUUCGGUGGUUGGGGUUGGACUCGCGGCGUAUCAGCUUGUUGGGUGGGUAGUGGCUUACCAAGGCUUGGACGGGUUGCCGGCCUGAGAGGGUGACCUGCCACAUUGGGACGGAGAUACGGCCCGGACUCCUACGGGAGGGAGCAGUGGGGAAUAUUGCACAAUGGGCGGAGGCCUGAUGUAGCAACGCCGCGUGCGGUAUGACGUCCUUCGGGUUGUAAACCGCUUUCGCCUGUGACGAAGCGUGAGUGACGGUAAUGGGUAAAGAAGCACCGGCUAACUACGUG
Molecule: ribosomal RNA, 468 nt
Filed under: uncultured bacterium
Lineage: Bacteria
Description: partial 16S ribosomal RNA
Rfam family: Bacterial small subunit ribosomal RNA
Source: RNAcentral